UGACAACUUUAUGUAAUUUUGAUAUUUUGCUUAUUUGCUUUAAAUCAUGGCAUAUGAAUAUAUUUGACUUUUUGUUGUAAUUUUAGUCUACUAUGGUAUAUUUAUAUAAUCAUCUUCAUGAAUAAGUUUCAUAUGAGAUUAAGUUUAAGAUAUAAAUCUUGUGGAGCAGGAUCUGCCUACCCUUUUGGAAGCACCAGAGAUCACCCUGGUCUUUGGUCAGGUCCAAAUUACUCAGUCUUUACUUCUCUAUGUUAUGUAAUGUGGACUGUUUUUGUGUGUAUUCAUUGUUUUUUUUAGCUCACCUGGCCUAAAAGGGACAGUGUGAGUUAUAACCAUCACUCAGCAUCUGUCGUUUGUUGUUGUUGUCUGUUUACAUCUUCUGAAAAUACAAGCCAAAAUUCAUAGCACACUUAGCCAUAAUCAUCCUAGGGCUUUAGUUAAAAAAAAAAUAUGUACAAUUGAUCCCAUCUUUCAACCAACAUAGCCCCCCAAGGCUCAAAAUCGAACAUAGGUGAAAAUAUGCAAGUAUUGCAUUUUGUUUUGAAAACAAUUAUAGAAAAGAAAAAAAUCUGAUAAAAUGCCUCUUAAUGAGGGCUUGAUCUACAAUUUGACAAAAAACAUAAUUGUCAGUGGAUUCCUAAUAGGAUUUAUUGCCCUGAAUGAUAAUUUUUACCCACUUUAAAAAAUAAAUGGUUAAACUGUCUGAUUUUUAACCUUUUCAGAGCUAAAUUAAUAUUAGAGUGAACCUUUUUUUCUUCAUUAUAAAAAAAGAGAUUUACAGUUAAAAUAAUAAAGCAUGCAAACCAAGAGUUUAAAUGCCUUUCUUACUAACUUUAGACACCUAAAUUCAAUGGGUAGGUGGAGUAUAACAGUCUGUUUACUAUACACAAAGUUUUGAUUGGUCAAUGAAUGUCAAAACUGUUUCCAAUAUAAUAUUCAUUGUCCAAUCAACUCUUUUUUAAUAUAGUAAACAAACUGUUACUCCACCUCUCCAUUGAAUUUAGGUAUCAAUCUUAAUUACAAUGCCCGAGCAAACAACCAAAAAAAGUUUGCAAGCAAGGCAUUUUAACUCUUGGUUUGUAUGCUUUAUUAUUUUAACUGUAAGUCAUAAAUUAUAUUCUAGUCUACAAUAACUGAAAAUGGCUAUUGUUAAUUAUGGAGAUAGAUCCAGUGAGUGACACAGUCUCUUAUUUUUUCUAUGAUGAAGUCAAUCUUUCUUCAUAUUCUCAACUUUGAUUGCCCUUUUGGUGUAUUCUGCCUCUUUUAUCAUGGAAGGUUUCAACAAACUAUUGAAAUAACUGAAAUUAAAUUGAAAUGAGUAUUGAGGGUCACCAUGGGUGGUAGGAAAGUGGUUGUGUGGUGGGACAAGAGAAAGUGCAACGAAAGCAGGGAUCUAUUUUUAGAGGCUAUUCUAGUAAAGCCACUUGCACUAAUUGACAUGCUUAGUUUUACCAUUGAACAUGUCUUUCAGUUAUUGAAGGUAUUUUUUUUUUUUAUUAAAAAAUGAUUUAUUAUUAUUGUUAUUGAUUUAAUCAGAUGUAAAUUUUAUAUACUAAGAAAAAAAUGCCUUGAUGUCUUAAUAUAAGUAGCAUUACAGUGGUUGAUAAAGUAAAUAUUUGUAAUUGCUUAUGAUUGACGACUCAAAUUAUGAAGAUCUCAGGCUUUGUCAUCACUUGGCACAAGACAGCAACAAUCACAAUAUAAAAAUAACUUGAACCAUCUUUUAUAUGCAAUUUGGUAACACUGAAACAAGUAUGUCGUGGCUGCAUUUAUAGCAAUGUUACAAGAUGCAAUAACAACAAAAAUACAUUUGAUAAGAUACUUUUUUCCAAGGUAUUUAUAGACAAGCUUUGUAAUGUAAAUUUUUCUGAAAAGUACAGCAAUUAUUUAGAAACUUUGCUAAACAGAAAAUAUUGUUACAAGGAGGUGGAGUAAUAUGUUCAAAUAAAUAUUAUAUAUUUAAAGUGACUCCUGAUCUCAUGUUCAAGUCAAUGUUAUUUCACAUUUUCAGUUUUGUUUUG
RNAcentral lists this long non-coding RNA (2021 nucleotides) under Mytilus galloprovincialis (Mediterranean mussel). Lineage: Eukaryota; Metazoa; Mollusca; Bivalvia; Mytilida; Mytilidae. The record is from RNAcentral.